CAAUAGCGUAUAUUAAAGUUGCUGCAGUUAAAACGCUCGUAGUCUGUGCGUGUCGUACGAAUUCUCUUUCAUGCAUGUGUAAUCAUACACAUGGGUGUGGAAUUGGUCGACAAAGUAUACUGCAUGUGGAAACAUGUGCAGAUAUAUGUGUACCUUGAGAAAAGUAGAGUGCUCCAGGCGGAAGGAUACUAGAAUAAUUCACCAUGGGAUGCAGUUACGGGAUAUGCUCAUUUGAGGUGCAGGAGCUGUCCACUUUGAACUGUUCAAGAGGAGCAAUUGGGGACGUUCGGAUUUUGCAGUUAGAGGUGAAAUUCUUGGAUCUGCUUGAGUCGGGCUACUGCGAAGGCAAUCGUCAUGGAUGCAUUCAUUGA
RNAcentral lists this ribosomal RNA (371 nucleotides) under uncultured eukaryote. RNAcentral describes it as "partial 18S ribosomal RNA". It matches the Rfam family "Eukaryotic small subunit ribosomal RNA", at positions 592 to 976 of the family's 1831-position model. The record is from RNAcentral.